This 480-nucleotide ribosomal RNA is filed under the name uncultured bacterium. RNAcentral describes it as "bacterial SSU rRNA". It matches the Rfam family "Bacterial small subunit ribosomal RNA", at positions 30 to 506 of the family's 1533-position model. The record is from RNAcentral.
UUGAACGCUGGCGGCAUGCCUUACACAUGCAAGUCGAACGGUAACAGGUCUUCGGAUGCUGACGAGUGGCGAACGGGUGAGUAAUACAUCGGAACGUGCCCGAUCGUGGGGGAUAACGCAGCGAAAGCUGUGCUAAUACCGCAUACGAUCUACGGAUGAAAGCAGGGGACGGCAAGGCCUUGCGCGGACGGAGCGGCCGAUGGCAGAUUAGGUAGUUGGUGGGAUAAAAGCUUACCAAGCCGACGAUCUGUAGCUGGUCUGAGAGGACGACCAGCCACACUGGGACUGAGACACGGCCCAGACUCCUACGGGAGGCAGCAGUGGGGAAUUUUGGACAAUGGGGGAAACCCUGAUCCAGCCAUGCCGCGUGAAGGAUGAAGGCCUUCGGGUUGUAAACUGCUUUUGUACGGAAAGAAAUCGGGUGCGUGAAUAGCGCGCCUGGAUGACGGUACUGUCAGAAGAAGCACCGGCUAACUACGU